Non-coding RNA from Biomphalaria glabrata, 72 nucleotides. The record is from the annotation of a RefSeq genome assembly. Lineage: Eukaryota; Metazoa; Mollusca; Gastropoda; Planorbidae.
GUUUCGUAGUGUAGUGGUUAUCACAUCUGCCUAAUACGCAGAAGGUUCUGGGUUCGUAACCCAGCUGGAACA